UUCAAGAGGGGUGGAUGUUCCUCCGUUGCAUAAAAUAACACGGAUUUGCUGUCCCGGUGCUCCCUUCCCUGGGGUAUGCCGCUGUGUGGAGGGUGAUGUGCAUCUGCUGUUGGUGUUGAGGACGAGUAGGGUCUGGGGUUGGGGGUGGGAGCGUUACCUGCGUGGAGCGGGUCUGUGGGCCCUUGUGGUGGGGCUGGGAGGGAGGAGGGCGUGGGAGAAGAGGAAGGCACUUUCCCCAGGGGCAAAGCUUGCGACCUGGCACUGAAGGCAGAGAUCUCCACACCUCUUUGCCGUGCAUUCCCACGAAGCGAUCGUCCUUCCUGUGCUCCAAAUUUCCCUCUUCCUGGGGAACCCCUGAAGAAAAGAUUGCACGGAAGUCUUUUGUGACUGGGAGAACAGGACUUUGGAACCAGUUGCAGAAACAGGAGUUCAGCGAGGAGGCCGGUGAAGGCACUAGGUGUGGUGGGAACGAGCCUAGGAUGGCUGCUAUGGCAUCGGGGGAAUCCAAAUAAUGAGAGGUCGGACCUGUCUGGGUGAGCUGCUUCAUGCACUGUGAACCAACUUAACUUCCCUCUCUGCUCUCUGUCCCUGCGUCCAUAGGUGCUUUGCUGGCCCCGGGGCUGCCAAGUGAGGCUGGGUUAGCAGCACGGUUGACGUCGGAGCAGGUUUGGGGUUAGCUGGUGGUAGUUUUCAUGCAAAACCUUCUGCGUUUCUGUGAUCCUUGAAAACAUUUGAUAGGAUCUUUGACGCACCUUUAUGUAUAGAGUUGCAGAAGAAGUGAGAAGCCUGC
RNAcentral lists this long non-coding RNA (790 nucleotides) under Struthio camelus australis. RNAcentral describes it as "lncRNA (ENSSCUG00000014466.1)". Lineage: Eukaryota; Metazoa; Chordata; Aves; Struthioniformes; Struthionidae. The record is from RNAcentral.